This is a non-coding RNA of Podarcis lilfordi (Lilford's wall lizard), 69 nucleotides long. Lineage: Eukaryota; Metazoa; Chordata; Lepidosauria; Squamata; Lacertidae. The record is from the annotation of a GenBank genome assembly.
GCUGUAACUCAGUGGCAGAAAAGCUGCCUUAAAUGCAAAAGGUCCCAGGUUCAAUCCCUGGCAUCUCCA